CGAGUGGCGACGGGUGAGUAAUAUAUCGGAACGUGCCCAUUAGUGGGGGAUAGCCCGGCGAAAGCCGGAUUAAUACCGCAUACGACCUGAGGGUGAAAGCGGGGGAUCGCAAGACCUCGCGCUAUUGGAGCGGCCGAUAUCAGAUUAGCUAGUUGGUGGGGUAAAAGCCUACCAAGGCAACGAUCUGUAGUUGGUCUGAGAGGACGACCAGCCACACUGGGACUGAGACACGGCCCAGACUCCUACGGGAGGCAGCAGUGGGGAAUUUUGGACAAUGGGCGCAAGCCUGAUCCAGCAAUGCCGCGUGCAGGAAGAAGGCCUUCGGGUUGUAAACUGCUUUUGUCAGGGAAGAAAUCCUUUGGGUUAAUACCUCGAAGGGAUGACGGUACCUGAAGAAUAAGCACCGGCUAACUACGUGCCAGCAGCCGCGGUAAUACGUAGGGUGCGAGCGUUAAUCGGAAUUACUGGGCGUAAAGCGUGCGCAGGCGGCUUUGCAAGACAGAGGUGAAAUCCCCGGGCUCAACCUGGGAACUGCCUUUGUGACUGCAAGGCUAGAGUACGGCAGAGGGGGAUGGAAUUCCGCGUGUAGCAGUGAAAUGCGUAGAUAUGCGGAGGAACACCGAUGGCGAAGGCAAUCCCCUGUGCCUGUACUGACGCUCAUGCACGAAAGCGUGGGGAGCAAACAGGAUUAGAUACCCUG
Molecule: ribosomal RNA, 700 nt
Filed under: uncultured bacterium
Lineage: Bacteria
Description: bacterial SSU rRNA
Rfam family: Bacterial small subunit ribosomal RNA
Source: RNAcentral